Long non-coding RNA from Zonotrichia leucophrys gambelii, 327 nucleotides. RefSeq lists it as uncharacterized. NCBI's taxonomy places the organism in Eukaryota, Metazoa, Chordata, Aves, Passeriformes, Passerellidae. The record is from RefSeq and is a predicted model, not a curated record. The transcript is spliced from 3 exons.
ACGACGCCGUUCCCUGUGUUCGCCUUACGUCAGCAGAGCUGAGCCAAGCCAGCAACUUACUGUGGGCAAACUAGUGCAUAAAUAAUGAGUGUGGCAACUUGGCAGCAGCCCAAGCACAGGGAAAAGUUCACGAAGCUCCCACUACCAGGAAAAGACCUGCCUGACUUUACAAGCAGUGGAAAUGAGAGGUCCUGAGGCAGGAUUUGCUGGAGGGCCUGGGUGACCUGGUGAAUGACUGAUGAAAAAUGGCAGAGUCACACUUCUACGGCAGAUUCUCCUCAUUCUUAUUGCUGGGGACAUCUGUCAGCAGCCAGCUAAAUGUCUACA